This 499-nucleotide ribosomal RNA is filed under the name uncultured bacterium. RNAcentral describes it as "bacterial SSU rRNA". It matches the Rfam family "Bacterial small subunit ribosomal RNA", at positions 1004 to 1505 of the family's 1533-position model. The record is from RNAcentral.
AAAUGCACUCCCCGCAAGGUCUCUACACAGGUGGUGCAUGGUUGUCGUCAGCUCGUGUCGUGAGAUGUUGGGUUAAGUCCCGCAACGAGCGCAACCCUCGUCCUAUGUUGCCAGCACGUUAUGGUGGGAACUCAUGGGAUACUGCCGGGGUCGACUCGGAGGAAGGUGGGGAUGACGUCAAAUCAUCAUGCCCCUUAUGUCUUGGGCUUCACGCAUGCUACAAUGGCCAGUACAGAGGGCUGCAAUACCGUAAGGUGGAGCGAAUCCCAAAAAGCUGGUCUCAGUUCGGAUUGAGGUCUGCAACUCGACCUCAUGAAGUCGGAGUCGCUAGUAAUCGUAGAUCAGCAACGCUACGGUGAAUACGUUCCCGGGCCUUGUACACACCGCCCGUCAAGUCACGAAAGUCGGUAACACCCGAAGCCGGUGGCCUAACCGCAAGGAGGGAGCCGUCGAAGGUGGGAUUGGUGAUUGGGACUAAGUCGUAACAAGGUAACCAAUC